This 492-nucleotide ribosomal RNA is filed under the name uncultured bacterium. RNAcentral's name for it is "partial 16S ribosomal RNA". It matches the Rfam family "Bacterial small subunit ribosomal RNA", at positions 29 to 507 of the family's 1533-position model. The record is from RNAcentral.
AGUGAACGCUGGCGGUAGGCCUAACACAUGCAAGUCGAACGGCAGCACAGUAAGAGCUUGCUCUUACGGGUGGCGAGUGGCGGACGGGUGAGGAAUACAUCGGAAUCUACUUUUUCGUGGGGGAUAACGUAGGGAAACUUACGCUAAUACCGCAUACGACCUACGGGUGAAAGCAGGGGAUCUUCGGACCUUGCGCGAUUGAAUGAGCCGAUGUCGGAUUAGCUAGUUGGCGGGGUAAAGGCCCACCAAGGCGACGAUCCGUAGCUGGUCUGAGAGGAUGAUCAGCCACACUGGAACUGAGACACGGUCCAGACUCCUACGGGAGGCAGCAGUGGGGAAUAUUGCACAAAGGGCGCAAGCCUGAUCCAGCCAUGCCGCGUGGGUGAAGAAGGCCUUCGGGUUGUAAAGCCCUUUUGUUAGGGAAGAAAAGCAGCAGAUUAAUACCCCGAUGUUCUGACGGUACCCAACGAAUAAGCACCGGCUAACUUCGUG